GCUGGCGGCGCGCUUAACACAUGCAAGUCGCACGAGAAAGUGGAGCAAUCCAUGAGUAAAGUGGCGUACGGGUGAGUAACACGUGGAUCAUCUACCUCUUGGUGGGGAAUAACCCUGGGAAACCGGGGCUAAUACCGCAUAAGCCUGCGAAGGGAAAGCAGCAAUGCGCCGAGAGAGGAGUCCGCGGCCGAUUAGCUUGUUGGUAGGGUAAUGGCCUACCAAGGCAAUGAUCGGUAGCCGGCCUGAGAGGGCACACGGCCACACUGGCACUGAAACACGGGCCAGACUCCUACGGGAGGCAGCAGUGGGGAAUCUUGCACAAUGGGGGCAACCCUGAUGCAGCGACGCCGCGUGAGCGAUGAAGCCCUUCGGGGUGUAAAGCUCUUUCGGCAGGAACGAUAAUGACGGUACCUGCAGAAGAAGCUGCGGCUAACUACGUGCCAGCAGCCGCGGUAAUACGUAGGCAGCAAGCGUUGUUCGGAGUUACUGGGCGUAAAGAGUGUGUAGGCGGUUCUCUAAGUUCCGUGUGAAAUCUCCCGGCUCAACUGGGAGGGUGCGCGGAAAACUGGAGGGCUUGAGUAUGGGAGAGGAAAGCGGAAUUCCUGGUGUA
Molecule: ribosomal RNA, 610 nt
Filed under: uncultured soil bacterium
Lineage: Bacteria
Description: bacterial SSU rRNA
Rfam family: Bacterial small subunit ribosomal RNA
Source: RNAcentral